GAUGAAGAACGUAGCGAAAUGCGAUAAGUAGUGUGAAUUGCAGAAUUCAGUGAAUCAUCGAAUCUUUGAACGUACAUUGCGCCCCUUGGUAUUCCAUGGGGCAUGCCUGUUCGAGCGUCAUUUGUACCUUCAAGCUUUGCUUGGUGUUGGGUGUUUGUCCAUUCUCUUGCAGAGGGACUCGCCUUAAAGUAAUUGGCAGCCAGUGUUUUGGUUUUGAAGCGCAGCACAAGUCGCGAUUCAACGCUAUACGCCAGCUUCCACAAGCCUUUUUCACUUUUGACCUCGGAUCAGGUAGGGAUACCCGCUGAACUUAAGCAUAUCAAUAAGCGGAGGA
This 334-nucleotide unclassified non-coding RNA is filed under the name soil metagenome. Its description in RNAcentral is "partial contains 5.8S ribosomal RNA, internal transcribed spacer 2, and large subunit ribosomal RNA". The stretch from base 1 to 120 matches the Rfam family "5.8S ribosomal RNA", at positions 35 to 154 of the family's 154-position model. The record is from RNAcentral.